This 133-nucleotide ribosomal RNA is filed under the name Castor canadensis (American beaver). The record is from RNAcentral. Lineage: Eukaryota; Metazoa; Chordata; Mammalia; Rodentia; Castoridae.
GUCUACGGCCAUGCCACCCUGAACGCGUCCGAUCUCGUCUGAUCUCGGAAGCUAAGCAGGGUCAGGCCUGGUUAGUACUUGGAUGGGAGGAGAGUGACAUUUGACAAGCCUGCAAAUAAACCCACAGUUGGCU